AUUGAACGCUGGCGGAAUGCUUUACACAUGCAAGUCGAACGGCAGCACGGACUUCGGUCUGGUGGCGAGUGGCGAACGGGUGAGUAAUGUAUCGGAACGUGCCCAGUCGUGGGGAUAACGUAGUGAAAAUUACGCUAAUACCGCAUACGAUCUAUGGAUGAAAGCGGGGGAUCGGAAGACCUCGCGCGAUUGGAGCGGCCGAUAUCAGAUUAGGUAGGUGGUGGGGUAAAGGCCCACCAAGCCAACGAUCUGUAGCUGGUCUGAGAGGACGACCGGCCACACUGGAACUGAGACACAGUCCAGACUCCUACGGGAGGCAGCAGUGGGGAAUUUUGGACAAUGGGCGAAAGCCUGAUCCAGCCAUUCCGCGCGCAGGAUGAAGGCCCUCGGGUUGUAAACUGCUUUUGUACAGAACGAAAAGGUUUCUACUAAUACUAGGAGCUCAUGACGGUACUGUAAGAAUAAGCACCGGCUAACUACGUGCCAGCCGCCGCCGUAA
Molecule: ribosomal RNA, 499 nt
Filed under: uncultured bacterium
Lineage: Bacteria
Description: partial 16S ribosomal RNA
Rfam family: Bacterial small subunit ribosomal RNA
Source: RNAcentral